CAGGCACCUCGUUUGGUGAGGCGUCUUCACGGACACACGCCGCUGGUCUCAUCCGCGAGUGGCUUCCCCUGGGCAUGGGGUGCCCGUGAAGGGCUGUAGCCCGACGAGUUGGGGUGAGCC
RNAcentral lists this non-coding RNA (120 nucleotides) under Streptomyces sp. Lineage: Bacteria; Bacillati; Actinomycetota; Actinomycetes; Kitasatosporales; Streptomycetaceae. The record is from RNAcentral.